GUCUAUGGCCAGGCCACCCUGAUCAAGCCUGAUGUCUGAUCUCAGAAGCUAAGCAGGGUUGGGCCUGGUUAGUACUUGGAUGGGAGACCACUUAGGAAAACCAGGUGCUGUAGGCA
RNAcentral lists this ribosomal RNA (116 nucleotides) under Pteropus alecto (black flying fox). The record is from RNAcentral. Lineage: Eukaryota; Metazoa; Chordata; Mammalia; Chiroptera; Pteropodidae.